AGUGAACGCUGGCGGUAGGCCUAACACAUGUAAGUCGAACGGCAGCACAGUAAGAGCUUGCUCUUACGGGUGGCGAGUGGCGGACGGGUGAGGAAUACAUCGGAAUCUACUUUUUCGUGGGGGAUAACGUAGGGAAACUUACGCUAAUACCGCAUACGACCUACGGGUGAAAGCAGGGGAUCUUCGGACCUUGCGCGAUUGAAUGAGCCGAUGUCGGAUUAGCUAGUUGGCGGGGUAAAGGCCCACCAAGGCGACGAUCCGUAGCUGGUCUGAGAGGAUGAUCAGCCGCACUGGAACUGAGACACGGUCCAGACUCCUACGGGAGGCAGCAGUGGGGAAUAUUGGACAAUGGGCGCAAGCCUGAUCCAGCCAUACCGCGUGGGUGAAGAAGGCCUUCGGGUUGUAAAGCCCUUUUGUUGGGAAAGAAAAGCAGCAGGUUAAUACCCCGCUGUUCUGACGGUACCCAAAGAAUAAGCACCGGCUAACUUCGUG
This 492-nucleotide ribosomal RNA is filed under the name uncultured bacterium. RNAcentral's name for it is "partial 16S ribosomal RNA". It matches the Rfam family "Bacterial small subunit ribosomal RNA", at positions 29 to 507 of the family's 1533-position model. The record is from RNAcentral.